Molecule: transfer-messenger RNA, 357 nt
Filed under: Phycisphaerales
Lineage: Bacteria; Pseudomonadati; Planctomycetota; Phycisphaerae
Also listed under: 1 other name
Description: VGXM01 sp016873295 Standard tmRNA
Rfam family: transfer-messenger RNA
About the family: Bacterial tmRNA, also known as 10Sa RNA or SsrA, is named for its dual tRNA and mRNA-like properties. Its role is to liberate the mRNA from a stalled ribosome. To accomplish this part of the tmRNA is used as a reading frame that ends in a translation stop signal.
Source: RNAcentral
GGGGCCGAACUGGAUUCGACCGAGCAGAAUCGGUCGGCGGUGGCGCGUCGCGGAGCAUGCACGCCCGCGUUAUCAAGCAUGCACCAUAAUGAUUGCCGAGCGUAACUACGCUCUGGCGGCCUGAACACCAGGCAGCCCGGUCCGCUCUCCACGCCCGAUAAAGAGCGGCCCGAAGACAUCGGGCUGGUCCGCGCCGGGGGGCUCCCGGCGGCGCGGGCGAGAUCACGCCGGGGCCUGGGCCCAAAGGGAGGCUGCCGAUGGCCGCCCCAGGGCCGAGAUCAAAUCACACGGCUACACGCGUAGAGGCCGCCGAGCGACUGUCCCGGGACGGGGGUUCGAUUCCCCCCGGCUCCAUUC